GACGAACGCUGGCGGCGUGCUUAACACAUGCAAGUCGAACGGAAAGGCCCUGCUUUUGUGGGGUGCUCGAGUGGCGAACGGGUGAGUAACACGUGAGUAACCUGCCCUUGACUUUGGGAUAACUUCAGGAAACUGGGGCUAAUACCGGAUAGGAGCUCCUGCUGCCUGGUGGGGGUUGGAAAGUUUCGGCGGUUGGGGAUGGACUCGCGGCUUAUCAGCUUGUUGGUGGGGUUGUGGCUUACCAAGGCUUUGACGGGUAGCCGGCCUGAGAGGGUGACCGGCCACAUUGGGACUGAGAUACGGCCCAGACUCCUACGGGAGGCAGCAGUGGGGAAUAUUGCACAAUGGGCGGAAGCCUGAUGCAGCAACGCCGCGUGCGGGAUGACGGCCUUCGGGUUGUAAACCGCUUUCGCCUGUGACGAAGCGUGAGUGACGGUAAUGGGUAAAGAAGCACCGGCUAACUACGUG
This 468-nucleotide ribosomal RNA is filed under the name uncultured bacterium. RNAcentral describes it as "partial 16S ribosomal RNA". It matches the Rfam family "Bacterial small subunit ribosomal RNA", at positions 28 to 507 of the family's 1533-position model. The record is from RNAcentral.